Molecule: non-coding RNA, 71 nt
Organism: Caenorhabditis briggsae
Lineage: Eukaryota; Metazoa; Nematoda; Chromadorea; Rhabditida; Rhabditidae
Source: Rfam
GUGUCCGGUCCGUCGUUGAUGGGUUAUCAUUGAAGAGGAAAUCACCCCAUCAGCAUCAACUUGACUGGUAA